Elgaria multicarinata webbii is the source of this 139-nucleotide small nucleolar RNA. RefSeq annotates it as small nucleolar RNA SNORD10. The record is from RefSeq and is a predicted model, not a curated record. The transcript has a single exon. Lineage: Eukaryota; Metazoa; Chordata; Lepidosauria; Squamata; Anguidae.
GUUCCGUGAUGAUCAACCCCAUGCGUGUCAUCUGACCCCCACGCCCCCAGUUUUCCUCCCAGCCUGCGUUCUGCGGUGCUGGGGGAGGGACCCGGGCUUCUGGGGGGAAGUGAUCAUAACUGACCCUGUCCCUGAGAAC